CAGAAAAACAAGCUACUUCUGCAGCAACUCAGAAGAUAUCCAAGAAGGUGUGCAAGCAUGAUGUGGUCAGUGCACCGAUAUCAAGCAUGAACAAAUGAGCAGCAUGUCUGGGACCUGUUGCAGCUCUGAAGUGGAUUUGUCUGAGAUGUAAAUUGUGCUCCAAUUUUGGCAUAACACCUGCUAUGCAAAAUUUCAAGAAAAUAAGAGAACACGGCCAUCACGGGUGAGGAUGUAUUUUAUUGUGUAUAUUUGCUCUCUAGUUUUAUGAAUUGCAAGUGCUUUAAAGUAAUUCUAAAUAUGUUGAUAUUAGGAAACAAGUUCAGAGGAAGAUGAGGUGUUGUCAGAUGAGGAAUACAUACCGGAGUCAAGAGUCAGACAGUGAAACAGACAGUUCAACUGAACUGGCAAAAAAACCAGCAACCACUGACCAAGCUAAACACCACUCAUAUACUGUAUACAGGAAGUUACAUCCAUUAAGUGUAAUGAACUUAACAGCUCAGAUGUAUCCCCAUUAACGUUACCCAAAGGCAAAGGAAAAAGAACCUUACAGUCCAGGGAAGCAGCUUGCAUGUAUGAAGAAUCUGAGUUACUUUGCCAUGAGGAAUCGUCAGAUGUUGAGACAGAUAGUGAGACUGACAGUUCUGGUGGAUGGCACCUUUUCAGAAAGGUUAAUGCAAAGCAAGGCACAGAGGUAGUUGCAUCAGGCAGAUCACUGAGUGAAGAGGCUAAUAGUGAAAAAGUUUUAACAGCAAGUAAGCUUCAAGAGGAAGGGAGUGCAACUAGCAUGGCUGAAGCAGACCAGUGUGUGCAGUCAUCAAAAAUUUCCUGUUCAGCAAAUAAGAACUACUGUUACAUCUGUGGGAAACCCCAGUCCAAAAUAGCACAACAUUUAGAAACCUAUAUGACUGAGGUUCAAGUUGGACAGGCAUUGUCACUCCCCCUACACUCAAAAGAACGUAAAGCAAUGCUGCAAAAACUCAGGAACAAGUGUAACUAUGAGCAUAACACAUCUGUUUUAGAGUGGAGAAGGGGCACUCAAAGUAAAACGGGUACCAAAAAGAGAAUGUGAUUCAAAACAGUUUGUGCAUUGCACGUACUGCAAAGGGAUGUUU
This is a long non-coding RNA of Scleropages formosus (Asian bonytongue), 1112 nucleotides long. RefSeq lists it as uncharacterized. Lineage: Eukaryota; Metazoa; Chordata; Actinopteri; Osteoglossiformes; Osteoglossidae. The record is from RefSeq and is a predicted model, not a curated record. The transcript is spliced from 3 exons.